ACCACAGCCAAGGGAACGGGCUUGGCAGAAUUAGCGGGGAAAGAAGACCCUGUUGAGCUUGACUCUAGUCCGACUUUGUGAAGAGACAUGAGAGGUGUAGCAUAAGUGGGAGCCUUGCAAAAUUGAAAUACCACUACUUUUAUCGUUUUUUUACUUAUUCAGUUAAACGGAAGAUGGGAUGCAAGUCCCUUUAUUCUGGAAUCAAGCGCCCGACAUUUGCCGGGCGCGAUCCGAUCUGAAGACAGUGUCAGGUUGGGAGUUUGACUGGGGCGGUACAUCUGUCAAAAGGUAACGCAGGUGUCCUAAGGUUAGCUCAGCGAGGACAGAAACCUCGCGUAGAGCAAAAGGGCAAAAGCUAACUUGAUUUUGAUUUUCAGUACGAAUACAGACCGUGAAAGCGUGGCCUAUCGAUCCUUUUGAUGUUAAGAGUUUUAAGCAAGAGGUGUCAGAAAAGUUACCACAGGGAUA
Molecule: ribosomal RNA, 468 nt
Filed under: Notomastus torquatus
Lineage: Eukaryota; Metazoa; Annelida; Polychaeta; Capitellidae
Description: eukaryotic LSU rRNA
Rfam family: Eukaryotic large subunit ribosomal RNA
Source: RNAcentral